UACGGGGGGGGCAAGCGUUGUUCGGAAUUACUGGGCGUAAAGGGCUCGUAGGCGGCCAACUAAGUCGGAUGUGAAAUCCCCAGGCUCAACCUGGGAACUGCAUCCGAUACUGGAUGGCUUGAAUUCGGGAGAGGGAUGCAGAAUUCCAGGUGUAGCGGUGAAAUGCGUAGAUAUCUGGAGGAAUACCGGUGGCGAAGGCGGCAUCCUGGACCGACAUUGACGCUGAUGAGCGAAAGCGUGGGGAGCAAACAGG
This 253-nucleotide ribosomal RNA is filed under the name uncultured bacterium. Its description in RNAcentral is "partial 16S ribosomal RNA". It matches the Rfam family "Bacterial small subunit ribosomal RNA", at positions 524 to 776 of the family's 1533-position model. The record is from RNAcentral.